Molecule: long non-coding RNA, 603 nt
Organism: Oncorhynchus keta (chum salmon)
Lineage: Eukaryota; Metazoa; Chordata; Actinopteri; Salmoniformes; Salmonidae
Exons: 4
Source: RefSeq, a predicted model, not a curated record
CCCCAGGUGGUAUAAAUCCCCAGGUGGUAUAAACUGUAUAAAUCCCCAGGUGGUAUAAACUGUAUAAAUCCCCAGGUUGUAUAAACUGUAUAAAUCCCCAGGUGGUAUAAAUCCCCAGGUUGUAUAAACUGUAUAAAUCCGCAGGUGGUAUAAAUCCCCAGGUGGUAUAAACUGUAUAAAUCCCCAGGUGGUAUUAACUGUAUAAAUCCCCAGGUGGUAUAAACUGCAUAAAUCCCCAGGUGGUAUUAACUGUAUAAAUCCCCAGGUGGUAUUAACUGUAUAAAUCCCCAGGUGGUAUAAACUGUAUAAAUCCCCAGGUGGUAUAAACUGUAUAAAUCCCCAGGUGGUAUAAACUGUAUAAAUCCCCAGGUUGUAUAAACUGUAUAAAUCCCCAGGUGGUAUAAAUCCCCAGGUUGUAUAAACUGUAUAAAUCCCCAGGUGGUAUAAACUGUAUAAAUCCCCAGGUGGUAUUAACUGUAUAAAUCCCCAGGUGGUAUAAACUGUAUAAAUCCCCAGGUGGUAUAAACUGUAUAAAUCCCCAGGUGGUAUUAACUGUAUAAAUCCCCAGGUGGUAUAAACUGUAUAAAUCCCCAGGUGGUAAGC